This 604-nucleotide ribosomal RNA is filed under the name Salmonella enterica. Its description in RNAcentral is "partial 23S ribosomal RNA". It matches the Rfam family "Bacterial large subunit ribosomal RNA", at positions 329 to 937 of the family's 2925-position model. The record is from RNAcentral. Lineage: Bacteria; Pseudomonadati; Pseudomonadota; Gammaproteobacteria; Enterobacterales; Enterobacteriaceae.
UUAGUGGAAGCGUCUGGAAAGGCGCGCGAUACAGGGUGACAGCCCCGUACACAAAAGCGCAUGUGCUGUGAGCUCGAUGAGUAGGGCGGGACACGUGGUAUCCUGUCUGAAUAUGGGGGGACCAUCCUCCAAGGCUAAAUACUCCUGACUGACCGAUAGUGAACCAGUACCGUGAGGGAAAGGCGAAAAGAACCCCGGCGAGGGGAGUGAAAAAGAACCUGAAACCGUGUACGUACAAGCAGUGGGAGCACCCUUCGGGGUGUGACUGCGUACCUUUUGUAUAAUGGGUCAGCGACUUAUAUUCUGUAGCAAGGUUAACCGUAUAGGGGAGCCGGAGGGAAACCGAGUCUUAACCGGGCGUUAAGUUGCAGGGUAUAGACCCGAAACCCGGUGAUCUAGCCAUGGGCAGGUUGAAGGUUGGGUAACACUAACUGGAGGACCGAACCGACUAAUGUUGAAAAAUUAGCGGAUGACCUGUGGCUGGGGGUGAAAGGCCAAUCAAACCGGGAGAUAGCUGGUUCUCCCCGAAAGCUAUUUAGGUAGCGCCUCGUGAAUUCAUCUCCGGGGGUAGAGCACUGUUUCGGCUAGGGGGCCAUCCCGGCUU